RNAcentral lists this ribosomal RNA (253 nucleotides) under uncultured bacterium. RNAcentral's name for it is "partial 16S ribosomal RNA". It matches the Rfam family "Bacterial small subunit ribosomal RNA", at positions 524 to 776 of the family's 1533-position model. The record is from RNAcentral.
UACGUAGGGGGCUAGCGUUGUCCGGAAUCAUUGGGCGUAAAGAGCGUGUAGGCGGUCCGGUAAGUCAGCUGUGAAAGUCAAGGGCUCAACCCCGGGAGGCGGGUGGAUACUGUCAAGCUCGAGUCCGGAAGAGGAGUGUGGAAUUCCUGGUGUAGCGGUGAAAUGCGCAGAUAUCAGGAGGAACACCAAUGGCGAAGGCAGCACUCUGGGACGUGACUGACGCUGAGACGCGAAAGCGUGGGGAGCAAACAGG